UUCGCAAUGCCCGAAAGGGUGACGAAGCGACGCCGCGUGCGGGAAGAAGGCCUUCGGGUUGUAAACCGCUGUCGGGAGUUAGGAAGUGCAAGGAUGUUAAUAGCGUUCUUGCUUGACUAAGGCUCCGGAGGAAACCACGGCUAACUCUGUGCCAGCAGCCGCGGUAAUACAGAGGCGGCAAGCGUUGUUCGGAAUUAUUGGGCGUAAAGAGCACGUAGGCGGCUGUGUAAGUCGGUUGUGAAAGCCUUCCGCUUAACGGAAGAACGGCAUCCGAUACUGCAUAGCUUGAGUGCGGGAGGGGAGAGUGGAACUUCUGGUGGAGCGGUGAAAUGCGUAGAUAUCAGAAGGAACACCGGCGGCGAAGGCGACUCUCUGGUCCGUAACUGACGCUGAGUGUGCGAAAGCUAGGGGAGCAAACGGGAUUAGAUACCCCGGUAGUCCUAGCCGUAAACGAUGGGCACUAAGUAGAGGGGUUUUA
This 478-nucleotide ribosomal RNA is filed under the name uncultured Planctomycetales bacterium. RNAcentral's name for it is "bacterial SSU rRNA". It matches the Rfam family "Bacterial small subunit ribosomal RNA", at positions 365 to 833 of the family's 1533-position model. Lineage: Bacteria; Pseudomonadati; Planctomycetota; Planctomycetia; Planctomycetales. The record is from RNAcentral.